RNAcentral lists this transfer RNA (76 nucleotides) under Bacteroidales bacterium. Its description in RNAcentral is "tRNA-Lys". It matches the Rfam family "tRNA". From Rfam's summary of the family: Transfer RNA (tRNA) molecules are approximately 80 nucleotides in length. Their secondary structure includes four short double-helical elements and three loops (D, anti-codon, and T loops). Further hydrogen bonds mediate the characteristic L-shaped molecular structure. tRNAs have two regions of fundamental functional importance: the anti-codon, which is responsible for specific mRNA codon recognition, and the 3' end, to which the tRNAs corresponding amino acid is attached (by aminoacyl-tRNA synthetases). tRNAs cope with the degeneracy of the genetic code in two manners: having more than one tRNA (with a specific anti-codon) for a particular amino acid; and 'wobble' base-pairing, i.e. permitting non-standard base-pairing at the 3rd anti-codon position. RNAcentral also lists the same sequence under 2 other names. Lineage: Bacteria; Pseudomonadati; Bacteroidota; Bacteroidia; Bacteroidales. The record is from RNAcentral.
GAGCUAGUAGCUCAGCAGGUAGAGCACAUCCCUUUUAAGGAUGGGGUCUUGGGUUCGAGCCCCAACUGGCUCACCA